This 458-nucleotide ribosomal RNA is filed under the name uncultured bacterium. Its description in RNAcentral is "partial 16S ribosomal RNA". It matches the Rfam family "Bacterial small subunit ribosomal RNA", at positions 338 to 795 of the family's 1533-position model. The record is from RNAcentral.
CCUACGGGGGACAGCAGUGAGGAAUAUUGGUCAAUGGGCGAGAGCCUGAACCAGCCAAGUCGCGUGAGGGAGUACUGCCCUAUGGGUUGUAAACCUCUUUUGUCGGGGAGCAACAGCCGGACGUGUCCGGCUGUGAGAGUACCCGAAGAAAAAGCAUCGGCUAACUCCGUGCCAGCAGCCGCGGUAAUACGGGGGAUGCGAGCGUUAUCCGGAUUUAUUGGGGUUAAAGGGUGCGCAGGCGGAUGUUUAAGUCAGCGGUCAAAUUGUGGGGCUCAACCCCAUCCAGCCGUUGAAACUGGGGAUCUAGAGUGUGCGAGAGGUAUGCGGAAUGCGUGGUGUAGCGGUGAAAUGCAUAGAUAUCACGCAGAACCCCGAUUGCGAAGGCAGCAUACCGGUGCACAACUGACGCUCAGGCACGAAAGCGUGGGUAUCGAACAGGAUUAGAUACCCCUGUAGUC